UCUCUCUCUCUCUCUCUUUUUGCUGCUCGUCUAUUAAGUUCUUUGAGGCUCUUAAACAGUUAAAAGAUGCCCUGAGAGUGAUAAGGUUAAAAGUUUGAAGUUCAAAUUGCCUAAUCCUACACUCCUGAAGGAAAUAGUGGCACCCUCCAAUUAUCCUUGGGGAAUACUUAUAAGGACUGAGAUGACUUCCAUAGUGGAUGGUGUGUGAUUCCUACCUGACAUAGGCACAUGGCUUAUUGAGUGAUUGGAGUGAAGUAAGAAAAUUAUGAUUUCAAUUUGGAGCCUGGUUCAAGUGGAGGCCCAUUGAGCCAGGAUGGUGCCAUUAACUCACGUUCAAAUUCAAGUAUGAGAUUGCCUUAGAAAAUGACUCAUGUUCCAUAAAUUCUUGCAGGAUUGCCCUGUAUGCACCAAAAGUUACUUAAACAUAAUGGGGUCCUUCUGUAUUUUUCCUCUUGCUGCUAAUAAGUACAAAGUUAUAUUUUUAAUCUGAUGCACAAUUUUUGUAAUAUUUGCAGGUCAUGGUAGCUGUAUAUUUCCUG
RNAcentral lists this unclassified non-coding RNA (539 nucleotides) under Hevea brasiliensis (rubber tree). Lineage: Eukaryota; Viridiplantae; Streptophyta; Magnoliopsida; Malpighiales; Euphorbiaceae. The record is from RNAcentral.